UAUUGACUGACUACGCAAAAUUGUAAUAUAUUAUGUAAAUAUACAAUAUUAGUAACUUUAUUUGACACUAGGAGCGCUUUUACCCCUAGUUGUACUUUACGGCGGCCUAUUAGAACGGGGGAGUGGCGGUGUCGAAACAUUUGAGGACUGUUCCUCUACUACCCCCCAACCAUGUCGAUACCAGUCCAUACUAUCUUAGUCCGUGGUAAUAGUGUAAUAUCAAUUAACGAAGUACGUGCUUUCUUUAUACGAACCACGUCUAUUUCGCAGCUCGAACUUUACGCCGACCCAACGUUUUUUUUGUUGUAGCCGUUCAAAACUUUUACCAUACUCAGACAUAUCGCCGAUCCUGUUCCUGCUGUGGCGAAGAUUUUCAAGAAGAAAAUUCGAUGUGUAUCGAUAUAGAAUGGUUACGAACCGACAGGAAUAGUUAAGUAGUACCUACUCUUAUCGAAGUCUGAGUCAGAUAUCUUGAUCGCAUGUCGUCCUAAUACUUUGACCAUAGCUCAUACAAAUCAGUUCAUAAUGCCAGUCACUAACCGGGCGAUCAUCGUUUGCUCAUUCACAGUCGUUAUCAUGGUUGUGAUACCUAUUUAAUUUGUGAUGAUAUGACCAUAGAAUAGAUGAAUAGAAAAAAGAGAUUCUGUGGUGGUAUGUCUGUGUCAUUUAAGUAUUAUUGAGGUUGAGUUUAGAAAUCUGAAAUAGUCGGGCGUUCAUUAUAAUACCGAUCAUGGCCUGACACAGCGUUUAAUAUACCUGACUUGCUGAAAUGUUCAUUGCUCAGGUUGGACAAAUUGGUUGCCCAAAAACAGUUAGAAAGAGAAUUGUAGAAAAACAAGAAAUCGACUUUACAUUCCUAUACUGAUAAUGACAAUGAAGGACAAGAUGUUGAAUAAGAGACAAAUUUAAAAAAACAUACAAUCAAAAGCCAGUAAAAAUGUAAUAGAUAAACAUUAUCGAUCUGCCCUUGAAGAAACUCCAACGUACGCUGGAAGGUUAUCAAAACAAGAAAUAUUUAAAAAUCAUAUGACGACUGUAGUGAACAUUAUUCAACUUCAGAUUCUAUAGAUAAGCGUAAUUAUCAUCGUCUGAGCAGGAGUAGUAACUAGUAACAAAAGUAAUAAAUGGAACCAAAAAAAUUAACGAUAUUAAAAAUAAUAAGAAAAAGUGGUAACCGUGUUCAUCGAUCCAGUAGAACAAUUCCUAUUAGAAAAAAAUAAGAACCUUCAACUCCUAAUGUCAGACUUCGAGAUAUACCAAUUAGGUGAGUUUUUUUCUAACAAUCUUUGAAACUACUAGUGAUGAAGAUGAUCAUAAUAUGUCUUAAUAUAAAUCUACUUGGGACAUGCCCACCCAGAUCAAGUAUUGAUG
Acyrthosiphon pisum (pea aphid) is the source of this 1371-nucleotide long non-coding RNA. RefSeq lists it as uncharacterized. The record is from RefSeq and is a predicted model, not a curated record. The transcript is spliced from 7 exons. NCBI's taxonomy places the organism in Eukaryota, Metazoa, Arthropoda, Insecta, Hemiptera, Aphididae.